RNAcentral lists this ribosomal RNA (253 nucleotides) under uncultured bacterium. RNAcentral describes it as "partial 16S ribosomal RNA". It matches the Rfam family "Bacterial small subunit ribosomal RNA", at positions 524 to 776 of the family's 1533-position model. The record is from RNAcentral.
GACGUAGGGUGCGAUCGUUGUCCGGAUUUAUUGGGCGUAAAGAGCUCGUAGGCGGCUCGUCGCGUCGACCGUGAAAACCCGCGGCUUAACUGCGGGCUUGCGGUUGAUACGGGCGGGCUAGAGUUCGGCAGGGGAGACUGGAAUUCCUGGUGUAGCGGUGAAAUGCGCAGAUAUCAGGAGGAACACCGGUGGCGAAGGCGGGUCUCUGGGCCGAUACUGACGCUGAGGAGCGAAAGCGUGGGGAGCGAACAGG